RNAcentral lists this long non-coding RNA (612 nucleotides) under Homo sapiens (human). RNAcentral describes it as "PREDICTED lncRNA (TCONS_00102428)". The record is from RNAcentral. Lineage: Eukaryota; Metazoa; Chordata; Mammalia; Primates; Hominidae.
CUCUGCAACAGAGCCUGGCGUGGUGUUGCCCCACUGCAUGUUUGUUGACUGACUGGCUGAUGGAUGCAGAGCCCGUCCUUCCUAAUGGUUCAGACUCAGGCGUCAUCAGCCCAGAUGGCUCCGAGGGAAGGGAGAGGCCACUCCGACUGCUCUGAGGUCCAGCACCCCCGGCCACCCCAGGACUCCCGAAGAGGCUGCUAGGUCGGCCUGCCCAAAGAGCGGUGAGGAGCGUAUGUGAAGAGCCCCAGUCUUGAGGAGCAGCCUGUAUCUGGAGAGAGGGGAGCCCCGGACCAGAGGUGGGGGACAGGAAGCCAUCGCCCCACCCUGCCUCCUCCCCCACCACAGGUGGCCCUCGCCCCGGCCCACCCGCGCCUCCCAGGCCCAGCCUCACCUGCUGCCGAGAGAGGACAGUGAUCCCCCAAAAGCCGGAGGUGGAGGAGGAGGAGGAAGAGGAGGAAGGAGCUGGAGGAGCCGGGGACUCGCCCGCUGAAGAUGCUCUUGUCAAGACAAUGAAUGAGAAGCAGCCGUGCGCCCGCCUCCGGGGUGGCCGCGCCCCUUGGGGCGGAGCUCUUCCAGGCCCGCCCUGCGCUCCCGGGCUCCCGCUGCGGCCGC